This is a long non-coding RNA of Canis lupus familiaris (dog), 2898 nucleotides long. RefSeq lists it as uncharacterized. The record is from RefSeq and is a predicted model, not a curated record. The transcript is spliced from 5 exons. Lineage: Eukaryota; Metazoa; Chordata; Mammalia; Carnivora; Canidae.
AUUGUCCCCAGCCAGAAUGUCUUCUUCAGGGAAGCCUCAGUCCUGUUCUGAAGGUCUUUCAACCGAGUGAAUCAGGCUCAUCUAGAUUAUGUAGGAGAACCUCUCCGAAAGAAGUAAAGCAACAUUUCUUCUGGGGAACAAAGUGGUGGUGGCCGCCGUGGAAGCAGAAGGCAAGGGCUUACUGCAUUAUCAGAGGAACCUCUUUGCAGAUAUGCUCUGAGCUGUUUGGAGGCAUGAGAGGGGACAACUGCGGUGAGUGAUAAGGGGGAUCACCUCCAUAAACUGGUGGAGACUGUAUAUGCUGUUGUCCCAUAUUGAGGACAACACUUAUGUUACUUGUGUUACAAAGUCUUCGAGAAGCUCUAUCUCAGAGCUGUUGACUAUGUACGUAGAGCCUGAACAGCUGGUUCCCUUCCACUAAGGAUGCCCUUCCUGAUUCACAUUUCUGCAUCACCUAAGAGACUGUGAAGCCCUCAAGUGUGAUCAUGUAGGCCUCUUCUUUUGGCAUCUAUGCACUUCCUAGAGGAGGGUUCAAAACAUGGCAGGUGCUCAGCAAAUGCUGGUUGAGUAUGUCAUUCAUGGAUCUACUGAAGUGUUCCUAGGUUUGGAUGGAAUGGUCGAGAAAUUAACUUCUUAGUACUUAAAGCUACUAGAAACAUGGAUUCAGAAAUGGUUUCACAGGUAAAAGAUCCAAUAAUGGAUGAGUGUUUUUGAUUUAUAUGAGAAAAGGAUUCAGAUGUGGACCAAGUACUGAGAAAUGGGACGGAUUUUCUAAGGGAAAGCCACUUCUCAUGGGCCUAGGAAAUGAUGCUAAUUGUGACAUCGCAUAAGCCUGGUUCAGAACUAUCGUGACAGUGAGAUCUGCCAGGUAACAGGCAUUUCUGAUGCUUAUCUGGAACCGGAGCUCCACCCUCCCCUAUUCCACACCAGUGGAUGCCAUCUGAGAGUUUGUUCUUCUACAUCAAUCAGGGGUAAGUACCAAGGCUUUGCCUGACCAGUGGUGUCUGACGUGGGUGCAUUCACAGGACGUACAGUCACCUUGGGAAGGACCAGCUUUGACAAAGAAGCCUUUAACGACAGGUUUGCUUAAUGGACCAACAUAGGGCUGGGUCAUUUUCCAGAGCAGUGGUCCGGCUGUUCUUGGAUGGAGGAAGGAGGGUGAGGACUAACACCAUAGAUUGAGCACACUUCCAUGGAGAAUAGAAGAUAAACAUCGGAACAGCUCUUUCUAAAUGUAUUCUAAACACAUUUGUGUUUAAUUGUCAAUAAAACUAGCCUUUUCAUGGUUUUCCUUGUGCUAUUUCUGGCCUGUUAGAUUUUUCUCCCACAGCAAACCAAGGACUCUGGGACCGACGGUGAUAGCUCAUGGCCUGAACCUAACCUGUAGUCAAGCUAGAUGACAAGCAUUUCUGCGGACCCCUUGGAAAAGCUUUCUCUAGUGUGCAGCUCCAGAAACUAAGGGAGAAGAGAGUUGAGCCAAACCUGAUAUGAUAGAAAUGCCCUGGAUUGUAGAUUCAUGGAGAAAGAAUUUUGACUCCGGCCUGUCACUCGGCCUCCAGUUCCACCCUCAUCCUGUUACUCUCAGAUGCUCUCCUGCCUUUCCACACAUCUGCUUUCCAGUCUCCUGUAAUCUCCACCUGGCACCUGACACCUUUUGAAAUCAAUUCACUCAAGAUUCUACCCACAAGAGUUGAUCAUCCGGUUCUUCCAGAUGGAAACCAGCUUGCCCAGGUACACUGCGUUCAUUGGAAAGUCCAGAACCAGCUGAGGAGAGCAGCUCUGCCCAUCUAGGGCAUUUUAGACCUCGGAUGUUUAUUAAGACUUAGAAGUAUCCGCAGAUCCAUCAUUCCUCCCGUGGGUUGCCUGGCUGAGGCAGAUACUCUUAUCGCAGUCUGCAUGUUGUUGAAAAUGCUCCCAUAGAAUGGAACUGAAAUUGGAGAUGACUAUUUUUGGAUUCUAUUUGUUCAUUUCCCAUGAAUACUCCCAGGAGAAAAAAAAAAAGCAACAGAGACUUUGAACAAUAGAUAUACAAUCAGAAUUGUAAGGGAAUAAUCACCUGUUAAUCUCUUCUUUAUUAAAAUUUAAAAGCAUUGGGCUGGAUAUAGUUUCGCUUCCAUGACCAGUAAAGUCACAACACUCGAUGGGUGUUAUUUUAUGUACGUGACCCGACACAGUCAGUGAUACAUUACUUGGUACUUCUCUGUGUCAUCCAGUACAAAUUUAGAAAAUGCCAAUUGGGUCAUGAUUCCUUCCAUUCUUUGGUUUCCCCACUGCUGUUGGGCCAGCAGACCCAUGAAUUUCUUCCCUUCACACUCACCAUGCGGCAUCCAUGACCCGAAACACCGACACACAGCUCGCGGUCCCCACGGUCUGCAGACCUCAGAUCUCCACUGGAAUGUCCCCUCCUCUGGGAGGUCUUGUCUGGUCACUCUGCUCUUUGCUUUCAGAGACUCUAUCAGGAUGGGAGAUCGCAUAUUCCCGAGCCCGGUUACUCAUUUAACACAGCUUCGCAAGAGCUGGAAUCCUUCUGGUUGUGUCCAUUUCUUUGUCCAGAGCAACGCAUGAAUGAUUAUCCGGAUGUUUCAGGGGAGAGUGGAACUGGGGCAAUGAGGACGAAUCAAGAUGUCACCACACGUCUGAAAACUGGCCUCCAACCUUCUGUGGGAUUUUCUCAACAGUUUCAGAUGUACUGCAUAAUGAUUCAAUAUCUGUACAUCCUGUAAAGUGAUCACCGCAAUAAGUCCAGUUAACAUCCUCAUCAUCCAUAGUUCCGGAACUUUCUUCUUGUGAUGAGAACUGGUAAGAUCUACUCUCUGGGGGCACCUGGGUGGCUCAGUUGGUUAAGUGUCUGCCUUCAGCCCGGAUUGUGAUCCUGGAGUCCUAGGAUCAAGCCUCACA